RNAcentral lists this ribosomal RNA (492 nucleotides) under uncultured bacterium. Its description in RNAcentral is "partial 16S ribosomal RNA". It matches the Rfam family "Bacterial small subunit ribosomal RNA", at positions 29 to 507 of the family's 1533-position model. The record is from RNAcentral.
AGUGAACGCUGGCGGUAGGCUUAACACAUGCAAGUCGAACGGCAGCACAGUAAGAGCUUGCUCUUACGGGUGGCGAGUGGCGGACGGGUGAGGAAUACAACGGAAUCUUCUUUUUCGUGGGGGUUAACGUAGGGGAACUUACGCUAAUAUAGCAUACGACGUACGGGUGAAGGGAGGGGAACUUUGGACCUGGCGCGAAUGAAUGAGCCGAUGUCGGAUUAGCUAGUUGGCGGGGUAAUUGCCCAGCAAGGCGACGAUCCGUAGCUGGUGUGAGUGGAUGGUCAGCCACACUGGAACUGAGACACGGUCCAGGCUCCUGCGAGAGGCACCAGAGUGGAAUAUGGGACAGUGGGCGCAAACCUUAUCCAGCCAGAGCACGUGUGAGGAAGAAGCGUUCGGGUCGUAAAGCCCUUUUUUUGGGAAUAAAAAGCUUCAGCUUAUGACCCCGCGGUACUGACGGUACCCAAAAAAGAAGCACCGGCUAACUACGUG